UACGGAGGGAGCAAGCGUUAAUCGGAAUUACUGGGCGUAAAGCGUGCGCAGGCGGUUUUGUAAGUCUGUCGUGAAAGCCCCGGGCUCAACCUGGGAAUUGCGAUGGAGACUGCAAGGCUUGAAUCUGGCAGAGGGGGGUAGAAUUCCACGUGUAGCAGUGAAAUGCGUAGAGAUGUGGAGGAACACCGAUGGCGAAGGCAGCCCCCUGGGUCAAGAUUGACGCUCAUGCACGAAAGCGUGGGGAGCAAACAGG
Molecule: ribosomal RNA, 253 nt
Filed under: uncultured bacterium
Lineage: Bacteria
Description: partial 16S ribosomal RNA
Rfam family: Bacterial small subunit ribosomal RNA
Source: RNAcentral